AUUCUAUCUUAUGAGAGGGUGUUAAAGCAAACCCUUAAAGUACCAUUUGAUGUUGAUGUUAACUCAUUUAAAUGAUUUUUAGAUUUCAGGUUUUUAGGUUAAGGCUAAAGAGACAGAACAGUUUUAAGUACUAGGAUUUUAUAAGUUACAAGUUCUAAUGCUUAUAACCCUGAUUGGAGGUUUUCCUAUUUUGGCUUUUUUCUAAUCUGUAUAAAUUUAAGCAAAUUGCUUAGUUUUUGAAACAGCCAUAUAAUAAAGUUGGACUAGAAUAAUUCUUAAUCCUAAGCAAAACAACAACAACAACAAAUUUGUAAUGCUGUUUGGUUAUGCAUUGUGUUUCUU
RNAcentral lists this long non-coding RNA (342 nucleotides) under Marmota monax (woodchuck). The record is from RNAcentral. Lineage: Eukaryota; Metazoa; Chordata; Mammalia; Rodentia; Sciuridae.